UGUAUUCCUCAGCCGACGACGGCAGGAA
Molecule: small RNA, 28 nt
Filed under: Bombyx mori (domestic silkworm)
Lineage: Eukaryota; Metazoa; Arthropoda; Insecta; Lepidoptera; Bombycidae
Description: ovarian small RNA-8957
Source: RNAcentral